AGUGAGCGCUGGCGGUAGGCCUAACACAUGCAAGUCGAACGGCAGCACAGUAAGAGCUUGCUCUUACGGGUGGCGAGUGGCGGACGGGUGAGGAAUACAUCGGAAUCUACUUUUUCGUGGGGGAUAACGUAGGGAAACUUACGCUAAUACCGCAUACGACCUACGGGUGAAAGCAGGGGAUCUUCGGACCUUGCGCGAUUGAAUGAGCCGAUGUCGGAUUAGCUAGUUGGCGGGGUAAAGGCCCACCAAGGCGACGAUCCGUAGCUGGUCUGAGAGGAUGAUCAGCCACACUGGAACUUAGACACGGUCCAGACUCCUGCGGGGAGCAGCAGUGGGGAAUAUUGGGCAAUGGGCGCAAGCCUGAUCCAGCCAUACCGCGUGGGUGAAGAAGGCCUUCGGGUUUUAAAGCCCUUUUGUUGGGAAAGAAAAGCAGCAGGUUAAUACCCCGCUGUUCUGACGGUACCCAAAGAAUAAGCACCGGCUAACUUCGUG
RNAcentral lists this ribosomal RNA (492 nucleotides) under uncultured bacterium. Its description in RNAcentral is "partial 16S ribosomal RNA". It matches the Rfam family "Bacterial small subunit ribosomal RNA", at positions 29 to 507 of the family's 1533-position model. The record is from RNAcentral.